UACGUAGGGGGCUAGCGUUGCUCGGAAUCACUGGGCGUAAAGCGCACGUAGGCGGCUUUCUAAGUCAGGGGUGAAAUCCUGGAGCUCAACUCCAGAACUGCCUUUGAUACUGGGAAGCUCGAGUCCGGAAGAGGUGAGUGGAACUCCGAGUGUAGAGGUGAAAUUCGUAGAUAUUCGGAAGAACACCAGUGGCGAAGGCGGCUCACUGGUCCGGUACUGACGCUGAGGUGCGAAAGCGUGGGGAGCAAACAGG
This 253-nucleotide ribosomal RNA is filed under the name uncultured bacterium. RNAcentral describes it as "partial 16S ribosomal RNA". It matches the Rfam family "Bacterial small subunit ribosomal RNA", at positions 524 to 776 of the family's 1533-position model. The record is from RNAcentral.